AAGUCGUAACAAGGUUUCCGUAGGUGAACCUGCGGAAGGAUCAUUAUUGAAAUAAACCUGAUGGGUUGUUGCUGGUUCUCUAGGGAGCAUGUGCACGCCUUGUCAUCUUUAUAUCUCCACCUGUGCACCUUUUGUAGACCUUUCUAGGUCUAUGUUGCCUUUUCAUUUACCCCAAUGUAUGUUAAUAGAAUGUUGUGACUAUAAAAUCUAUACAACUUUCAGCAACGGAUCUCUUGGCUCUC
This 242-nucleotide unclassified non-coding RNA is filed under the name Cortinarius sp. Its description in RNAcentral is "partial internal transcribed spacer region". The stretch from base 1 to 46 matches the Rfam family "Eukaryotic small subunit ribosomal RNA", at positions 1786 to 1831 of the family's 1831-position model. The record is from RNAcentral. Lineage: Eukaryota; Fungi; Basidiomycota; Agaricomycetes; Agaricales; Cortinariaceae.